RNAcentral lists this ribosomal RNA (468 nucleotides) under uncultured bacterium. RNAcentral describes it as "partial 16S ribosomal RNA". It matches the Rfam family "Bacterial small subunit ribosomal RNA", at positions 28 to 507 of the family's 1533-position model. The record is from RNAcentral.
GACGAACGCUGGCGGCGUGCUUAACACAUGCAAGUCGAACGGAAAGGCCCUGCUUUUGUGGGGUGCUCGAGUGGCGAACGGGUGAGUAACACGUGAGUAACCUGCUCUUGACUUUGGGAUAACUUCAGGAAACUGGGGCUAAUACCGGAUAGGAGCUCCUGCUGCAUGGUGGGGGUUGGAAAGUUUCGGCGGUUGGGGAUGGACUCGCGGCUUAUCAGCUUGUUGGUGGGGUAGUGGCUUACCAAGGCUUUGACGGGUAGCCGGCAUGAGAGGGUGACCGGCCACAUCGGGACUGAGAUAUGGCCCAGACUCCUACGGGAGACAGCAGUGGGGAAUAUUGCACAAUGGGCGGAAGCCUGAUGCAGCAACGCCGCGUGCGGGAUGACGGCCUUCGGGUUGUAAACCGCUUUCGCCUGUGACGAAGCGUGAGUGACGGUAAUGGGUAAAGAAGCACCGGCUAACUACGUG